AUUGAACGCUGGCGGCAGGCCUAACACAUGCAAGUCGAACGGUAACAGGAAGAAGCUUGCUUCUUUGCUGACGAGUGGCGGACGGGUGAGUAAUGUCUGGGAAACUGCCUGAUGGCGGGGGAUAACUACUGGAAACGGUAGCUAAUACCGCAUAACGUCGCAAGACCAAAGAGGGGGACCUUCGGGCCUCUUGCCAUCGGAUGUGCCCAGAUGGGAUUAGCUAGUAGGUGGGGUAACGGCUCACCUAGGCGACGAUCCCUAGCUGGUCUGAGAGGAUGACCAGCCACACUGGAACUGAGACACGGUCCAGACUCCUACGGGAGGCAGCAGUGGGGAAUAUUGCACAAUGGGCGCAAGCCUGAUGCAGCCAUGCCGCGUGUAUGAAGAAGGCCUUCGGGUUGUAAAGUACUUUCAGCGGGGAGGAAGGGAGUAAAGUUAAUACCUUUACUCAUUGAGGUUACCCGCAGAAGAAGCACCGGCUAACUCCGUG
Molecule: ribosomal RNA, 490 nt
Filed under: uncultured bacterium
Lineage: Bacteria
Description: partial 16S ribosomal RNA
Rfam family: Bacterial small subunit ribosomal RNA
Source: RNAcentral